This 498-nucleotide ribosomal RNA is filed under the name uncultured bacterium. Its description in RNAcentral is "partial 16S ribosomal RNA". It matches the Rfam family "Bacterial small subunit ribosomal RNA", at positions 30 to 523 of the family's 1533-position model. The record is from RNAcentral.
AUUGAACGCUGGCGGCAUGCCUUACACAUGCAAGUCGAACGGUAACAGGUCUUCGGAUGCUGACGAGUGGCGAACGGGUGAGUAAUACAUCGGAACGUGCCUAGUAGUGGGGGAUAACUACUCGAAAGAGUGGCUAAUACCGCAUGAGAUCUACGGAUGGAAGCAGGGGAUCGCAAGACCUUGUGCUACUAGAGCGGCCGAUGGCAGAUUAGGAAGUUGGUGGGAUAAAAGCUUACCAAGCCGACGAUCUGUAGCUGGGCGGAGAGGACGAUCAGCCACACUGGGACUGAGACACGGCCCAGACUCCUACGGGAGGCAGCGGUGGGGAAUUUUGGACAAUGGGCGCAAGCCUGAUCCAGCAAUGCCGCGUGCAGGAUGAAGGCCUUCGGGUUGUAAACUGCUUUUGUACGGAACGAAAAGCCCCGGGUUAAUACCCUGGGGUCAUGACGGUACCGUAAGAAUAAGCACCGGCUAACUACGUGCCAGCAGCCGCCGCUG